UACGGGGGGAGCAAGCGUUGUUCGGAUUUACUGGGCGUAAAGGGCGCGUAGGCGGCCACCGCAAGUCAGUUGUGAAAGUCGGGGGCUCAACCCUCGAAUGCCGGUGGAUACUGUCGGGCUAGAGUGCGGAAGAGGCGAGUGGAAUUCCUGGUGUAGCGGUGAAAUGCGCAGAUAUCAGGAGGAACACCUAUUGCGAAGGCAGCUCGCUGGGACGUAACUGACGCUGAGACGCGAAAGCGUGGGGAGCAAACAGG
This 254-nucleotide ribosomal RNA is filed under the name uncultured bacterium. RNAcentral's name for it is "partial 16S ribosomal RNA". It matches the Rfam family "Bacterial small subunit ribosomal RNA", at positions 524 to 776 of the family's 1533-position model. The record is from RNAcentral.